Octopus bimaculoides (California two-spot octopus) is the source of this 894-nucleotide long non-coding RNA. RefSeq lists it as uncharacterized. The record is from RefSeq and is a predicted model, not a curated record. NCBI's taxonomy places the organism in Eukaryota, Metazoa, Mollusca, Cephalopoda, Octopoda, Octopodidae.
AUUACUGCUGCUGUCACCGGUACACUACAGUGAGCCGCGCUUGCUCAUCAGUAAAAAACUCGUUUGAACGAGUUUACAACGUGUAUAAAAUCUUCUUCCGGGAAACCAGCUGUUCCCUGCUGGAUAUCUUACCGCUCUUAACAUAAUAAUAAUGAUCUGCCGUGAAGUACUUUUUCAAUGCUGACACGUCCUUGAAACGAAGAUGAAGUCGUCCUCGUGCUCUUGUGCCGGAGGCCAAUUCCCCAUACAGGAGGUCUUUGGGGUUUCUCCCAUCUGGUAUGCGAUGUAUAUGAUCGAGCCAAUGCAGACGACGCAGCUGGAGCAGGUAAGCAAGCUACUUACCACACAGCCACUCCUGAGAGACGUUUCUGCAGCCCACAUUUUAGUUAACCCAAGAGUGAUUGGAGGACCCAACAUGACUACUGAAAUUGAUGAAAGUUUUGUCACUAAAAGAAAAAUUGUGUCGGACGUCAACUACCUUAACAAUGAGUUUUUAGAGGUGUUUGUAGCGAAACGAAAGAGUGUCUAAUGUUUAUUGUCCCUGGAAAGUCUACGAUAACAUUUCUUCCAAUAAUAGAAAAUAAGGUACUACCUUCAUAAGUGACGAAUGGUCAGCAUAUAAAAAUAUAAUUAAUAUUGGUCAUUUUCAACGUCUCACUGUUAAUCGUUCUCUACACUUUGUCAAUCCUACUAAAAGAGCUCAAACCCAAAAUAUUGAAAGACUUUGGAAGAGUGUUGAAGAGAGAGAGAGAGUGAAAAAAAAAAGAUGAAAUGGCACUCACAGAGGCCUACUGGACUCCUAUGUGUGCGAGUUUAUGUGACGACAAGAGAUUGGAUUAAAAGUCUUAGAUCCUUUUGAUUCAGUACUUCAACACAUUGCUGACUUUUGGCCUC